CCCUUAGAUGUCCUGGGCUGCACGCGCGCUACACUGAUGUGUCCAGUAAGCACCUAACCUCUUCCGAAAGGAACGGGUAACCUUUGCAAAGCACAUCGUGAUGGGGAUAGAUUAUUGCAAUUAUUAGUCUUGAACGAGGAAUUCCUAGUAAGCACAAGUCAUCAGCUUGUGUUGAUUACGUCCCUGCCCUUUGUACACACCGCCCGUCGCUCCUACCGAUUGAAUGGUCCGGUGAAGCCUCGGGAUUGUGGCCAGUUCACUUUAUUGGGAGUUGGCUGUGAGAACUUGUCUAAACCUUAUCAUUUAGAGGAAGGUGAAGUCGUAACA
This 327-nucleotide ribosomal RNA is filed under the name uncultured eukaryote. RNAcentral's name for it is "partial 18S ribosomal RNA". It matches the Rfam family "Eukaryotic small subunit ribosomal RNA", at positions 1470 to 1796 of the family's 1831-position model. The record is from RNAcentral.